UACGUAGGGGGCAAGCGUUGUCCGGAUUUAUUGGGCGUAAAGAGCUCGUAGGCGGUUUGGUGAGUCGGGUGUGAAAUCUCCACGCUCAACGUGGAGGGGCCACCCGAUACUGCCAUGACUAGAGUCCGGUAGGGGAGUGUGGAAUUCCCGGUGUAGCGGUGAAAUGCGCAGAUAUCGGGAGGAACACCAAUUGCGAAGGCAGCUGGCUACGCAUAUAUUGACACUGAGGCACGAAAGCGUGGGGAUCAAACAGG
This 254-nucleotide ribosomal RNA is filed under the name uncultured bacterium. Its description in RNAcentral is "partial 16S ribosomal RNA". It matches the Rfam family "Bacterial small subunit ribosomal RNA", at positions 524 to 776 of the family's 1533-position model. The record is from RNAcentral.